Non-coding RNA from Schizosaccharomyces pombe (fission yeast), 317 nucleotides. NCBI's taxonomy places the organism in Eukaryota, Fungi, Ascomycota, Schizosaccharomycetes, Schizosaccharomycetales, Schizosaccharomycetaceae. The record is from the annotation of a GenBank genome assembly.
UUUUUGAAUUGGGUUUAAAAAAUAGUUUACUGUAUUCAAUCUCAACGGGUCUGAUUGCAUUUGCUUACAGUUCUAUAAAUUACUUACUUUCUAAUUUUUAUUUCAUUUAAAACUUACUGAAAUAUUCAUUCGCUUACUAUGAGUUUAUUUUACAUUACGAGCUAAGACGGUGUUAGCUGACCUGGUUGCUUCUAUAACUAAACAAAUGUAUAAUGAACAAAGACUUAUAUACAUAUAUUGAUUAAAUAUUUAAAAAAUAUCGUAGCUGAUAAAAUUGUGAUGGGUUCUUUAGCGACAGCAAAAGCAAACCUCUGAAC